This 278-nucleotide long non-coding RNA is filed under the name Homo sapiens (human). Its description in RNAcentral is "HSALNT0128106". The record is from RNAcentral. Lineage: Eukaryota; Metazoa; Chordata; Mammalia; Primates; Hominidae.
UAGAUGUUAUGCUUGGAAAUGAGCGACUAUUAUUAAAAGAACAAGGUAGUGAAAACUUUAGACAUCCAGGAGAACUUAAAGAAUGGUGAAAAUCUGGUAACAAUAAGUCUCACUUCCUAUUAAACUGUUAACUCACUGAUCGUGACUCAUUUAUGUUAGUGAAUGGCAUCUGUCUACUUAUUUCUUUUACCAGACAGUAAAAAGUGGUAGUAAGAAAAUAAUAAUAACAAGCAAGACUAAAUGAUAUACUUUACUAUUAAGCAGUGAAUCCAUUCUCA